AACGACAAUAUCACCAACCAUCCUAACAACGAACAGCAAAACGCGUCAACUCUGAAUCCAGAAACCCAAUAACCGCAGUAACAACUCGACCCGGUCUCAACCCGUCUCUCACAUGCGUCACGCGCCCUCCCGUGUGGAUUUAUGCGAAGAAAGGCCGAGAAGAUUGCUUAGUUGGCUCGUCCAACGUUCAGAUCCGCGAAUUUUGGGGAGAAUGGUACGAAUUCGUACCCAUUUUGCGAAUUCUAUUGGUUCUUGCGGAUUAUUCAUUUCUAUUGAUUGAACCCAUUCAAAUUUAUUCAAAAUCAGUACAAGAAGUAGGGGAAAAAACCUUAUCCUCCGAAAAUACCCUUUGUUAAAAUUCCCAAAACUGCCCAUGAUUUUGACUCUCCCACUUCGUUGGUUGUUUGAAAUGGAAAUCCGAAUCUCCUAUAUAAAAAGCUCAUUGUUGAGCUAAAAGGGAUAAGGUCUCGGAAUGUGAAAAAGCCAUUUUGAGCAAAAAAAAAAACAAGUAUAAUCUUGUUUUGAGUAUAAAAUUUUCUUCUUCCCGAGGAAGGUUGGGGGCUGCUUGGAGCUUUCGGAGUUGUGAAAGAAUCUUCCCGAGGAAGGACGGUAGCUCGUUUGUCUUGUUUUGCUGCUCCGAAACAGUUUUGUUUGAUUUUAGUCGCUCUGAGUUUACUUUCUCACAAUCGAUAUGGUCGAGUCACUGUAGUAAGUGAAUUGCUAUUUUCUUUUGUUUAAAAAUCCUAUAAUUUAUUUGCAAGUGUAGAAUUUUUGAGAAUAUACAUUAAUUCAUUAUCUUUUUUCUUUGCAUGAACCCACCUUGAAUUCCAAAUGGACUUUUUCUCCUUGCAUUUCAUAAUGGGCUAACACGGCCCACUUUAUCGAGUCAAGCCCGAAAGAGAAUCCAAAACCGAUUACAUAGCAAAUGGAUGCAAAAAGUCGAGAGAGGAAUAAUGGGUUAAAAUUCCAUCGUUGAAGCGGCCAAGGGAUUAGAAAGUCUCUUUUCUUUUAUUUAUUUUUUUAUUUAUUUAUAUAUUGUCGUCUUUUAUUUAUUUGUUUAUAUAUUUACUCCUUCAUUCAUUCA
Long non-coding RNA from Capsicum annuum, 1084 nucleotides. RefSeq lists it as uncharacterized. Lineage: Eukaryota; Viridiplantae; Streptophyta; Magnoliopsida; Solanales; Solanaceae. The record is from RefSeq and is a predicted model, not a curated record. The transcript is spliced from 2 exons.